CGCGUAGGUGGUUCGUUAAGUUGGAUGUGAAAUUCCAGGGCUUAACCUUGGGGCUGCAUUUGAUACGUGUAGACUAGAGUGUGAGAGAGGGUUGUGGAAUUCCCAGUGUAGAGGUGAAAUUCGUAGAUAUUGGGAAGAACACCGGUGGCGAAGGCGGCAACCUGGCUCAUUACUGACGCUGAGGCGCGAAAGCGUGGGGAGCAAACAGGAUUAGAUACCCGCGUA
This 225-nucleotide ribosomal RNA is filed under the name uncultured Asaia sp. RNAcentral describes it as "partial 16S ribosomal RNA". It matches the Rfam family "Bacterial small subunit ribosomal RNA", at positions 568 to 792 of the family's 1533-position model. Lineage: Bacteria; Pseudomonadati; Pseudomonadota; Alphaproteobacteria; Acetobacterales; Acetobacteraceae. The record is from RNAcentral.